GUAAGCAGCCAAAAAGGAAGCUACUAAUAAAACAAAACCAAAAUCACCUCGGAGAGGCAAACGCGUACCUCUCAACGUAGGUGCUUUUAUCUAUGAACAGAUGAAUAUACACUUGAUUUAACAAGACCUUUAGCUGUGUACUAUACUCUAUCUUCAGCCGACUCUCCACUAUGCUGUGUACCUUGGCUAAAAAAAUCGGAACUAAAAUCUGGACUACCAAAUGCGAUCCUUCGAAACAAUCUUAUUUCUGCAGAUUGAUCUGCAGAGUUAUAUAUUGUACUUUCGCCAACUUUCAU
Molecule: unclassified non-coding RNA, 296 nt
Filed under: Hevea brasiliensis (rubber tree)
Lineage: Eukaryota; Viridiplantae; Streptophyta; Magnoliopsida; Malpighiales; Euphorbiaceae
Source: RNAcentral